RNAcentral lists this ribosomal RNA (548 nucleotides) under uncultured Glomus. RNAcentral describes it as "SSU rRNA". It matches the Rfam family "Eukaryotic small subunit ribosomal RNA", at positions 548 to 1098 of the family's 1831-position model. Lineage: Eukaryota; Fungi; Glomeromycota; Glomeromycetes; Glomerales; Glomeraceae. The record is from RNAcentral.
UUGGAGGGCAAGUCUGGUGCCAGCAGCCGCGGUAAUUCCAGCUCCAAUAGCGUAUAUUAAAGUUGUUGCAGUUAAAAAGCUCGUAGUUGAAUUUCGAGAUCAAAUUGUUGGUCGUGCCUUGGUACGUACUGACAUUAUUGGUUUCUCCCUUCUGAAGAACCAUGAUGUCAUUAAUUUGGUGUCAUGGGAAAUCAGGACUGUUACUUUGAAAAAAUUAGAGUGUUUAAAGCAGGCUCGCGCUUGAAUACAUUAGCAUGGAAUAAUGAAAUAGGACGUUUAAUUCUAUUUUGUUGGUUUCUAGGAUUGACGUAAUGAUUAAUAGGGAUAGUUGGGGGCAUUAGUAUUCAAUUGUCAGAGGUGAAAUUCUUGGAUUUAUUGAAGACUAACUACUGCGAAAGCAUUUGCCAAGGAUGUUUUCAUUAAUCAAGAACGAAAGUUAGGGGAUCGAAGACGAUCAGAUACCGUCGUAGUCUUAACCAUAAACUAUGCCGACUAGGGAUCGGAUGAUGUUAAUUUUUUAAUGACUCAUUCGGCGCCUUACGGGAAAC